RNAcentral lists this ribosomal RNA (493 nucleotides) under uncultured bacterium. RNAcentral's name for it is "partial 16S ribosomal RNA". It matches the Rfam family "Bacterial small subunit ribosomal RNA", at positions 28 to 507 of the family's 1533-position model. The record is from RNAcentral.
GACGAACGCUGGCGGCGUGCCUAACACAUGCAAGUUGAGCGACGAACCAGGGCUUGCCCUGGGGCAAAGCAGCGAACGGGUGAGUAACACGUGGGUAACCUACCCCGAUAACCGGGACAACCCGAGGAAACUCGGGCUAAUACCGGAUGUGCUCACUGGACUUCGGUUCAGUGCGUAAAGGAAGCUUCGGCCUCCGUAUCGGGAGGGGCCCGCGGCCCAUUAGUUUGUUGGUGAGGUAACGGCUCACCAAGACCGCGAUGGGUAGCUGGUCUGAGAGGACGGUCAGCCACACUGGGACUGAGACACGGCCCAGACUCCUACGGGAGGCAGCAGUGGGGAAUCUUGCGCAAUGCGCGAAAGCGUGACGCAGCAACGCCGCGUGGGGGAAGAAGGCCUUCGGGUUGUAAACCCCUUUUGGGAGGGACGAAGGUGCGGCGGUGAAUAGCCGUCCGGACUGACGGUACCUCCACAAGAAGCCCCGGCUAACUACGUG